Molecule: small nuclear RNA, 183 nt
Filed under: Cryptosporidium parvum
Lineage: Eukaryota; Apicomplexa; Conoidasida; Eucoccidiorida; Cryptosporidiidae
Source: RNAcentral
AAGUUUGUACUUGAUAUAUUGAAUGUCUCUAACCACAUAAAAGUUUCUAGUGAUAGAAUUGAUCAACUAUUCAAAUAACGAAUUACUUUGGCAUUAGACUCAACAACCUUUUACAUAGUCACUAGUAACUAAUAGAUGUAGUAACUAGCCGGCUUUGCAUGCCAUAAUUUACUUUAUCCACUC